CAAGUUAGUGUUAAAAUGGCGGCGGCCGCAGCGGAGCAGGUAACGCAACCUGUGUAAUCUCAACUGCCGCUCGGCGUCACUUCAACUCGGGCGGUGCUGCUGGAGGAAAAGUGGACGAGUGUGGAUUUAUUUCUCGGAGCCUGUCAGUAAAAGUGCGUGUGUGCGUGUGUGUGUGUGUGUGUGAGAGGGAAGUAGCGCUGUGAUGAAGAAGCAGGAACAGAAAUGCACAGAUGAGUGAAGUUCAAACUGAACGGAAGUGAACUUCACAUGCCUCCUCCCCGCCGCGGCUCGGGGUCAUUAGAACGCGCAUUAGAGCGUUAUUAACGCGACCUUAUGCAGUUUAGGCCGGAGGGGUAACUCCUGCUCUCAAGUUCAUGCCGGGUUUCUGUGUGUGAAGAGAAGCGCCGAGUCCGAGACACAAACACACACAGAGAGAGAGAGAGAGAGAGAGAGAGAGAGAGGUGAAGUCUGUCCAUCAUCAUCAUCAUCAUCAUCAUCAUCAUCAUCAUCAUGGACAGGAAGGUGCAGAUAAGAUGUGUAGAAGUGUUAUAAAGCAACACAACACGGAAGAAGGGAUGGACACAGAAGAUACGAUGAGAAACCCGGAUGGAAAAGGUGUGUGUGUGUGUGUGUGUGUGUGUGAAAGGCAUGAAUGGGCACGGCAUGUGUUUAAUCGUCAUACUGACGUCAUCUGUGUAUAUGGAUGUUGGACACUUGUGAUACUAUUGUACUAAGUGUGUGGAGAGCACGUGCAACAGGUGUGUGAUCAUUAUACUGAAUGUAGGGAUGUGAGACAGGUGUGUGAUCAUUAUACUGAAUGUAGGGAUGUGAGACAGGUGUGUGAUCAUUAUACUGAAUGUAGGGAUGUGAGACAGGUGUGUGAUCAUUAUACUGAAUGUAGGGAUGUGAGACAGGUGUGUGAUCAUUAUACUGAAUGUAGGGAUGUGAGACAGGUGUGAUGGUUAUACUGAAUGUAGGGAUGUGAGACGGGUGUGUGAUCAUUAUACUGAAUGUAGGGAUGUGAGACAGGUGUGAUGGUUAUACUGAAUGUAGGGAUGUGAGACGGGCGUGUAACGGUUAUACUGAAUGUAGGGAUGUGAGACGGGUGUGUGAUGGUUAUACUGAAUGUCGGGAUGUGAGACAGGUGUGAUGGUUAUACUGAACGUCGGGAUGUGAGACGGGCGCGUGACGGUUAUACUGAAUGUAGGGAUGUGAGACGGGCGCGUGACGGUUAUACUGAAUGUAGGGAUGUGAGACGGGCGUGUGCUGGUUAUACUGAAUGUAGGGAUGUGAGACGGGCGUGUGACGGUUAUACUGAACGUCAGGAUGUGAGACAGGUGUGUGACGGUUAUAUUGAACGUCGGGAUGUGAGACGGGUGUGUGCUGGUUAUAUUGAACGUCGGGAUGUGAGACGGGCGUGUGAUGGUUAUACUGAAUGUAGGGAUGUGAGACGGGUGUGUGACGGUUAUACUGAAUGUCGGGAUGUGAGACGGGCGUGUGACGGUUAUACUGAAUGUAGGGAUGUGAGACGGGCGUGUGAUGGUUAUACUGAAUGUAGGGAUGUGAGACAGGUGUGUGAUCAUCAUUAUACUGAAUGUAGGGAUGUGAGACGGGUGUGUGCUGGUUAUAUUGAAUGUAGGGAUGUGAGACGGGCGUGUGACGGUUAUACUGAACGUCAGGAUGUGAGACAGGUGUGUGACGGUUCUAUUGAACGUCGGGAUGUGAGACAGGUGUGUGCUGGUUAUAUUGAACGUCGGGAUGUGAGACGGGUGUGUGCUGGUUAUAUUGAACGUCGGGAUGUGAGACGGGUGUGUGACGGUUAUACUGAAUGUAGGGAUGUGAGACGGGUGUGUGCUGGUUAUAUUGAACGUCGGGAUGUGAGACAGGUGUGUGACGGUUAUAUUGAACGUCGGGAUGUGAGACGGGCGUGUGACGGUUAUACUGAACGUCGGGAUGUGAGACAGGUGUGUGACGGUUAUAUUGAACGUCGGGAUGUGAGACAGGUGUGUGCUGGUUAUAUCAUUAUAUUAGUGUUUGUGUGGGAGUGUGGUAUAGUAUCUCAGUAGCGUUGGGUCUUCACGGUGAUGUUACAGCUGGUGUGAGGUUGAAGUUACAGUUCCUCCUGAAGCUCCUUCUGAAAGAGAAGUGUGUUGUGAAACUGAUGUGAGACACAUUUGGGAAUGUUGAAAUCCGCUCCUGUGUGUCAAUGUCCUUCAGUUGUUCUCUAAACGAAGGAUGAAAGCCCCGCUUGUUUAUCUUGGGUUUUUUCGAUCUGAAUAAAAACUCAUUCAGCGAGGAGGUUAGUCUUUAAAAAUGAAUCAAUUAGAGGAAUCAUUAAAAUUGUGUUGUACUGUUUAUUUAGUCCUGGCCUGAAUACACUAUUUCACAUAACAGGUUAUUACGUAUAGUCCACGAGACACACACAUACCUGAAUUUACACAAAGGAACCAGUUCAAAAGUUUACAUACCCUUGAUUAUUAACCCCG
This is a long non-coding RNA of Ictalurus punctatus (channel catfish), 2486 nucleotides long. The record is from Ensembl. NCBI's taxonomy places the organism in Eukaryota, Metazoa, Chordata, Actinopteri, Siluriformes, Ictaluridae.